AUGGCCGGCGAAGAGGGUUCCGAGCAGAAGGAAGUGACCGCGGAGGAGACUUCCUCCAGCCCCACGCAGCAGACCUCGUCCACCGACGGGGUGCGCACGCCGGAGCGGUGCACCACCGAGCCUCAGGCGGAGGCUCAGAUCGAGGAGCCGGUUUCCGAGCCUCAGGCCGAGGCCGAAGAUCAGGAAGGCUACGAUGACCAGGAAGCAGAUCUUGAUUACCAAGACGAUGCUGACUACGACGGCUACGACGACGACGGCGAGGACGAUUACGAGUAUGGGUCUGAGUCUGACUACGACUCUGAAUACGAGGACGAGGAUGAUUACGACUGGGAGUCUGAGUUUGCGAAGCACCGGCCAGUGGUCAGGGAGACGUUGUUAAACUUUCCUGAGGCCGCCAAUCUGGAACCUCAAGAGCUGGACGCCGCGGUGGAGAGGGUCCUCGAGCAGUCCAAGCCCGAGUACAGGGACGUGACCGCCCCAGGCAAGGUUCGGCUGUUGAAAAACGACAUAAGGCUGAUCUUGGCCGAGAAGUGGGAGCCCCCCAACAUCCACAAGCUUCCGUCCAUAAUAUGCCCCGCUGAGAUGAUCAAGAGAAGCGAGGAGCUGGACAAGGAGCUGCCGCCGGGGAACGACAGGGAGGCCGAUGACAGGUUUGCAGAGUUGCAGGCCAAGGUCCGCAAGGAUCUGAUCGAGAAGGGGUACGCCGAGGUUGACGAAGACUACUAUGACAACAGGGGCGAAUUUUGGGAGGAGCUGAGGGAAGAGUGGAACAAGAUUGACUUCAGGAGACUGGACUUUCAGCUCCCGGGUGCAGGGGCACCCUCAUGA
This 828-nucleotide ribosomal RNA is filed under the name Triticum aestivum (bread wheat). Its description in RNAcentral is "partial small subunit ribosomal RNA". The record is from RNAcentral. Lineage: Eukaryota; Viridiplantae; Streptophyta; Magnoliopsida; Poales; Poaceae.